CUUUAUAGAGUGGAUAAAAAACACUGCCUGCAGUUGUUUGCCUCUGAAUCUUUGUCACACGAUCUUCAAAGACACACCCAUCGGCCAUAACAGUUCAUAGACUUGUUUCAUACUUUCAUGUCAUCACUCAUCAGUUCAGUGGACAGUGGAUCUUCACAGUUCACAUUCAUUAGUCAUUAGACUCAUUACUGAUAUCAGAUAUUUCGAAGGCAUUCCUGAGGCUGUUUCAGAGAGUGAGCAAAGAGGUGGUUGAUUAGUUACCAAUAUUUUG
Molecule: long non-coding RNA, 271 nt
Organism: Pistacia vera
Lineage: Eukaryota; Viridiplantae; Streptophyta; Magnoliopsida; Sapindales; Anacardiaceae
Exons: 3
Source: RefSeq, a predicted model, not a curated record